GUCUGGGACUCAUGGCUCCACCCCCUUCUCCCCUCUCCCACCUGGGCCGUUGCCAGGGGAACCUACUCCCAGCAACCUCCACCCUCCCUUUCAUUUGCGUCUCAUUAACAUCUUGUCUGCAUCCCACAACAGGCAGAUGGCCCUGUGCAGGGCUGAGCUGGAAGAGGUGACCAGGGCCUCCUCGCACCUUGCCCACCAGAGUGAGCCUGGCCUGCAGCUCCCUGCACUCCCGCUGCAAGGCAGCAAUCUGCUUGUCCUUGGCCAGCAGUGCACUGGCUGUCUCACUGAGGUCCCGGGCUCGCUGGCGGGCUAGGGCCUUCCGACACAACUCCAAGCUGGUCCCCGGCCGGGGCAAGGGGGCACUCACCUAGCCAGAGGAGGGGUUGGCUGAGCUCUUCCCCACCCACAAAGGAGGCUGCAGAAGGCGCCAGGGCUGCUGGAGCUGGAGCCAGGGCCUCCUGCCCCCAACAGGAUUCCUCACAUCCCAGGACCAGCUGGAAAAGGUGGUGAGAGUUGGAAAGAGACUGCUCAGUGAGGACUGCCCUGCGAACCAGCUUGGAUUCAUCCCGUUCACCUCCACGUUCUGCACUCGGGGCCGAGGGAAGGGAGGCAGCCCAGGCAGCUAGAGAACUUGAUGAAACACACUCAAUCUGAAUCUCGCUUGAUCGUCAUGCUGACCCAGUGAGGUAAGUGAUGGUAUCCCCAUCUCAGAGAUGAGGAACCGGAAACUCAGCGAGGUUAAGUUUCACCUUCCUGAAAAUCGGGCACCCCGUUUCUGUUCCCCAGAGGGAGCUCAAUUCAAAGUCCCCAAAGAACAGGUCUUCUGUGAAGACCUGUUCUCCCCUCACAACCCCGUUGGAAAAAGCAGUGGGAGCGACCCAGGGCGGACCCUCUGGCCCAGGCUUGUGGGUUGGGGGGCAGAGGGGCCUAACUGGGUGGCCAGGUGGCCCGCAGAGUCUCUCCAGCAGCAGAUGGCCUCCCCAGCCCUUUCCUUCAGAGCCUAUUAAGCAGUCAAAUGGGGGAGGGUUGGCCCCCAAGGCCAGGGACCCAGCAGCAGCAGCAGCUCACAGCACUGGAGCCGUUAAAAAGUGACUCAACCAGAAAGUGCGUUUGAAGUGACGCCCGCCAGGGCCCCAGAGCCCCAGAGCCCCAGAGCCAAACCUCAAAAAGACGAAGUGAGAGAGACAGGCCUGCGGGGGCUGGGCCGGGGGUGGAGACCCAGCCUGGAGCUGGCCUGGCCAAAUAAGGGCAAAUGCACUAGGGCGGGCCAAUGGGGCAACAGCGGCUGGCUGCGUCAUGGGGCUGCGGCUCUGGGGAGGGGGAGGUGAGAAGCCUGGGACAAAAUGGGGGUGGGUGUCAGGGGUCCCGGCACCUCUUCGAGGGGUCCCAGGGUGGGUGAACACAGGAGGCAUGGAAGCCCUCACCCCCAAGGAGCCUUUGUUACUAAGGUCAGUGGACCUGCAACCCCAGAGCCCCACCUGCAGGCUGGAUGGGGUUCAAGGAAGAAAAAGGGAAACCUGGAGGACCCCCAUGCCCCUGCCCCAGUUAUGGGCCCUGGAUCCCCAUCUGCCAUGGAGAACUGAAGGGAGGCCAUAGGGACAGCAGCGUUGUGCAAGGGGAAAGGCUGAAGCACCAGUGCAGCUUCACCAGGCCACUGACUGUGGGCGAGAGAUGUAAUGGAAACUCAGUUUUCUCAUCUGUGAAAGGGGAAUAAUAUUGCCUCGUGGGAUGGCACUGAGGGUCAAAUGCAAUAAUAGAGGUGGCCCAUUUUGAACCUGGAAAUUGCCAUAGGGAUGUAAUAGAUGAUUAGUGUAGAGGCACAAGGCCAAAGGCUGCUUCUUAGAUUCUUGUUUCCAGGUGCUAUAAACGAUCCCUUUGCAAGGAUAUCAUGUGGUUCUCAAUUUUGGCCCCUGGUGUCUAGAACAAGGUAGGGGGAGGUGCCAAGGCCAGAGGGAUUCCUGAAUCUUAGUCCCUAAGCAAAAGCAGAAGAGACUGAUGCCUGCCUGCCUCCAGCUGAUUCCCCAGGGACAUACCCCCCUUCAUUUCUCCUGCAUCUCCUCACCUUCCAUGAAUCCAGACCAUGCCCCACCCCUCCUCCUGAGACCCCGCCCUCCAUCUCCCGGCCUCUCUGGGGUGCAGGGCAGAGGAAGUGAGUCUACUCAGCUGACCAGAGAAAGUGCUGCAGCUGCCUGCACAGGGUGGGCCGACUGCUGUCUUGUUCAGUGCCUGUGAUAACUCCCUUGCCUCAGGCCUCUCCAGCCCCUGCUGGGACCACUGGCCCAGGAGGAAGUCUGGGCUCUGGCUGCCACCUGCUUCCUCUCAGGAGUUCUUCUCCCUCCCAAGCAUGGAUUUGCAUUUCCCCCUCUGCCUUCUGCUACUCAAGCCCCCAGGGAUGAGGUGACAGUUAACCCCCCACUUCCUGCUAGUGGCCCCAGAGCGCUCACUUCCUUCCAGGUAUUUUCCGGGAUGGGGGAAGGGGUUGAAAGGGUGGUAGUUGCUGGGUUUGGAAAGGGGAUGAGGGAUCCAUUUUGGAGAGAAACUGAGGUCCCCCUACCCUGCUGUCUGAAGCUGCUCCUUCCCUUCCCUCACGCUCACUCUGUAACACAAGAGCUCAGUUUGCAGGAAGAAGAGUGCAUAGGCCGGAAGCAGCACACAGGGGCUUUCAAAAUGGGCUAGGCCAGCUCUCUCUUAGAGGCCCAGGCCUCUAUCCGCCAUAGAUAGACCCCCAAGGAAAGUUCCUUGGACUUCAAGUUCCCUAUCGGGACAACAUAAUGUCUGCCCUCUACCCGGAAGGCAGAGGGUUGAGAAUGGGGGAGUGCCAAGGCAUAGAGGGGAAAUGUUUUCCAUCCUAUUUCUCAGAGGAUCUGGCAUGCUGGUACCAGCAGCACAAGGCAGAGUGUUCUCUGCACUCAGUUCCCGCUUCCUGGGAUCUUAUGGCAGAGAAACACAGCAUCUUUAGACAAGAGGUACUGAGCUAGGCAGUGUAGGACAUACAAAGUAGCAGCGACCCGCUCCUGAAGUCAAGCUGACCAGUCUCUGGGGCUCAGUCCUCUCCUCUAAAAAGUGAGGGGCUGGCCUAAGUCAUGACUCCCCCAGUCCUAAUGUUCUGUGGUCUGCCUUCACUCCUCUGUAGACUCUGCAUUUCACCUUCCCACUGGUGAAGGCCUCGAAACCCCAAGACUGAGGCAGGCAGCCAUGUGCUCUUCUCCCCAGUCUAAACCUUAUUGGUGCAACCUAUAGCAAUUUUUACCAAGUGUGGCUGUCUGUUCUCCUAGGUCAGACAAGACUGGAAGGGGGACAGCCACACAUGAGCAACAGAAGUGACAGCUGACAGGUUGCUAUGAAUCCAAGAGGUAGAAAAAGAGUCAGUCCCGGAACCAUUUCACCACAUGAUACAAAAAUGGAGGUUUACAACAAUGACUUUGAACCAAAUCAGGUUAAAUCACAUUCAGAAUCUUGUAUCCAAAUAGCAAGGAAGUAUAUAACACAUUUUUAAAAAUUUAAGCUAGGUGUAGUGGCACAUGCCUGUAGUCCCAGCUACUUGUGAGGCUGAAGCGGGAGAAUCUCUUGAGCCCAGGAAUUCAAGGCCAGUCUAGGCAACAUAGUGAGACCCUGUCUAAAAAAAAAGAACCACAGAAAAACAAACAAAAAAACAAAAAAAAAACCCAAACCAAACUUUAUCUUAUAAAAAACGAGAACAUAAAGAUUAAAAUUUUAAAAAAACCUUGGCCAGGCACAGUGGCUCACGCAUAUAAUCCUAGCCUUUUAGGAGGCUGAGGCCGAAGGAACACUUGAGGCCAGGAAUUUGAAACCCUGUCUCUACAAAAAAUACCAAAAAUACCCCCAAAAUGAGCUGGGUGGAGUGGUGCGCACCUGUAUUGUUAGAUACUCUAGGAGCUGAAGUGAGAGGAUUGAUUGAGCCCAGGAGCUGGAGGCUUCAGUGAGCUACAAUCGUGCCACUGCGCUCCUGCCUGGGAAACAGAACAAGACCCUGUCUUUGGAAAAAAAAAAAAAAAAAAAAAGCCCUGGUGCUUGAAGGAAAAUGUUUCUGUUUUGAUUCAGUUUUGAUGUAUUUAUGUAUGAUAUAUGUGGUGGAACACCUAUUACCAUUACCCAACAAUGCUGGAAGGAUGAAAUUCUUGUCACACCUAUCUAGAACUUACCUAGAGAUAGGCAACCUUGGAUAAUGACAAUUCCUUACAUAGUUUACAACUCUCAAAUUGCUUUUGCCUAAAUUAUUGUAUUUGAUUUUUUUUUUUUUUUUUUUGAGACAGGGUCUUGCUCUGUUGCCCAGGCUAGAGUGCAGUGGCACAACUGGGACUCACUGCACCCGUGACCUCCUGGGCUCAAGUGAUCCUCCUGCCUCAGCCUCCCAAGUAGUUGGGACUACAGGCGUGUGCCACCACGCCCAGCUAAUUUUAAAAAAAUUUUUAGUAGAGACAGGGCAUCGCCCUUUGCACAGGCUGAUCUCAAACUUCUGAGCUCAAGCAAUCCACCUGCCUCAGCCUCCCAAAAUGCUGGGAUUACAGGCGUGAGCCACCACACCCAGCCAAAGCAAACUUUUUAUUUGAAGUAUAACAGUGAACAAAUCCUAAGUAUAUAACAAUAUAUUUCCAGAAAGUGAACUGACCUACAUAACUAGCAUCAAGAUCAAGAUAAAAGGCCGGACGCAGUGGCUCAUGCCUGUAGUCCCAGCAGUUUGGGAGGCCGAGGUGGGUGGAUGGCUUGAGCCCAGGAGUUCGAGACCAGCCUGGGCAGCAUGACAAAACCCCGUCUCUACCAAAAUAUAAAAAUUAGCUGGAUGUGGUGGUGGAUGCCUGUAGACCCCGCUACUUGAGGCACUGAGGUGGGAGGAUCAACUGAGCCCAGGAGGUUGAGGCUGCAGUGAGCCAUGAUCAUGCCACUGCACUGCAGUCUGGGUGACAAAGUGAGACCCUGUCUCAAAAAAAAAAAAAAAAAGUGAAAGAAAAUAAAAGAAAGAAAGAAAGGGAAGGAAGGGAGAAAGAAAAGAAAGAAAAAGGAAGGAAGGAAGGAAGGAAAGAAAGAAACAAAAUAUAACCAGCACCUUAGGUGCUUCUCAUGCCCUCCUCCACCACCACCUAUCACAGCUAACCACGAUCCUGCCCUUAACAUCAUAGUUUUGUCAACUGCACUUCCUAGACAAGAAACUUCAUUUUAGAGGUGACUUGGGAAAGUCACAGGGUUGGUGGCUGGUGGAGGCAGCAGGGCCAGGACUCUGCCCUUAGUUAGAUACAUGUAUUUUCAUCGCACAAGUCUCAGUGUUCCAGUGGGGUGUGACGGUGCCAUCAUCAGUCUGCAGAUUGAGGGAGGUGAGGAGGAAAAAGAGAGGUUGGGAGGUGUGGGGCACACAGGUCAGCAGGUGCGUAAGAGCUGCUGGAGUGGAAUAGAAGAUGCAGCCAGGGGUAACUCAUGAAGGGCUAGACUGGUUUCCCAAUGCUCUGCACAGGAAUCCUUGAGUAAAUCCCAAGGAUCCCCUCCCUGGGCCAUUGCCCCACUGCCUCCAUCUCUUUGGCUAAUUUUAGACUUAGGGACUAGAGUGGUGGGAUUAGAGUGGUUGGUGGGCUCAACGUGUAGGGACAAUGUGUUGUAAUAACUUCACUCAGAAGAAAGCUAAUGCCUCACACUGGUUCUGUUGAACACUUAUGGAGGGAAAAAAACUUGCUGUGUUUGUGGACAACUAUGUCACAAACAGUUAGUAGCCCUAAACUUAGUGUGGACAUUAUAUUUCUUGAGCUGAGGCUCCACUACUUGAUUAUGGCUAAAACACUUUUAACUCUUUUCUUCCCCACCCCGAGACAGAGUCUUGCUCUGUCACCCUAGCUGGAGUGCAGUGGCACGAUCUUGGCUCACUGCAACCUCCGCCUCCCGAGUUCAAGCACUUCUCCUGCCUCAGCCUCCCAUGUAGCUGGGAUUACAGGCGCCCGCCACCACACCUGGCUAACUUUUUAUAUUUUUAGUAGAGACGGGGUUUCACCAUCUUGGCCAGGCUGGUCUUGAACUCCUGAUCUCAUGAUCCACCCACCUUGGCCUCCCAAAGUGCUGGGAUUACAGGCAUAAGCCACCGUGCCCAGUCAAGACACUUUAACUCUUUGAGUCUCAGUCUCCUCAUCACCAAAUAAGGAUGUUAACUAGUUCCAGGGUUUCUGUGAGAAUCAAAUGAGAUACUGGAUAUGAAAGCCCUUUGUCAACUGUAUUUGGGUUUGUUUUGUUGUUUUCUGAGACACGGUCUCACUCUGUCCCCCAGGCUGGAGUGCAGUGGCGCCAUCACGGCUCACUGCAGCCUCAAACUCCCAGACUCAAGGGAUCCUCCCACCUCAGCCUCCCAAGUAGCUGGGACUACAGGUGUACACCACCAUGCCUAGCUAAUUUUUUGUAGAGAUGGGCUUUUGCCAUGUUGCCCAGGUUGGUCUUACACUCCUGGGUUCAAAGUGAUCUGCCCGCUUUGACCUCCCCAAGGUGCUGGGAUUAGAGGCAUGAGCCACAGCACCCAGCACCUUUGUCAACUGUAAAAAUAUUUACAUGAAAGGCUUUACUGAUACUAAACAUGAACCAGACUUCCAGACAAAGUUAUUAUUAGUCUGUUCUUAAACAUGACCUACCUGCCUCUUUCAUAGAGACCAGAUGUCAGGGAGGGGACCUGAGGAUCAAGUAGCAGGCUGCAGACAGACUAGGAGUAACAAGGCAGAAGCCACACCAAGAGCAAAGCCUCAGUUCCCAACCCUGGUGAAACUGCUCCCCUCCAAGACCAGACCAUCCUGACCCUUGCUCUAUCAGCUACCAGUCCUUUCUUGAGCUGGAGGCUGCAUUAUCAAUGCACUGCCACUGAGCUCCUCAGUGUUCUGGGAGACCCUAAUUCCACAGUAUGUGGCAGGGAGGAAGCAGGGAAUGAGGCAAGGGCAGGCAAGGGGAAGGCAGCCUGGCUACUAUUCCUAGUCUCUGUCUGACUUGCAUCUGUCCUUGUUGAGCUAGGGAGGAGGCUUGCUCUUCAGGAGAGAAGCCAAACUACUGAGCAAGACAAGGAGAGAUCUUAAGAUGCUAUGCACUCAGAACUUCGGCAGCCAGGACGGGACUGAAACUCUGACAGACACAAUGGGCCAAUGGGGCAGGACAUAGCUCUCAUGGCUGCCCUCAUAGCCAUGGAAAGCAGGGCAGCAGUACCAGGACCGCCCACUCCCAGGGAGCUGUGAACCAAGUCCUUGUCUUAGUUUCUUUGGGUUCCCAGUAGAGGAUGGGACUCCAGCACCUUUCUGCCUGUCUGGGUUGCUGAGUGGCACCACCUGCAUGUUCAAGUACCAGAGAAAGCAAGAAAGCUAAUUCAGCAGCAGCUCCCGGGGAGAGCCCACUUGGCACAGUCUGUAGAGUCCAGGAAGGAAAACAGGCCACCCUUCCCCCACAAGCAUCAAUGCCUAUGCUAUGUCUUUUGCUUCCUGUGAGACUGUCAGUUAGGGCCCAGUUCAGUGUAGGGCUGAGGCAGCCUGAAUGUGGUUAUUUGUGCAAGCUCCUCUUGCCUCCCCUCCCCACAACUGUUUCCAUUCUCACCAAGCAGCCACGUCCGGGUCAGACACCCAGGACAGCAGCUGGGGCUUUCCAAGGGACUUUUUGAGAAGCUAGUGAAAGUUGGGUGUUGGCUGCACAGCCUGGGCACUUGCUGAAACGCACUUCUUCCAUCCAGGACGUAAGCUCUAGCCUGGCAGGGUUGCUUUCAGGUUGAAAUUGAACAGAAAUCACCACCCACGGAGCUUUCUGUUUGCUGGGCUGGGGAAAUCCUUGAGAAACUCAGUUUGGAGUUGGGGUUAUCUGACCAUUCCCUCAGAGCUUGAAGGCACCAGAGAAAAUGGUUUUGGUUUGAAGACCAUAGUGGACAUGAGCAGCCCGGCCAGUCCCAGUUUCCCUCCCAUAGGCCUAUGUGAGGACAAGGAAGGGGAGUAGACAAACUAAUCAGAGUCAGGUCGCAUCUCUCCUCCUUCCCACACUCUCCAGGCCACAGGUAACAAGCAAAAUCAACUCAAGAGCAACACCAGGUGGCUGAGACACAAAGCCCUAGCACAGGCAGCUCUGCCCUAGCACAGCACAGCUCACCCUGCAGUUGUGGUUCUCAGCAUUUCCCCUACUAUUUUGGCUGAUUGUGCACAUAUUCUAUGUAUUGAAAAAUGGCCCAA
This 8180-nucleotide long non-coding RNA is filed under the name Homo sapiens (human). RNAcentral describes it as "HSALNT0243110". Lineage: Eukaryota; Metazoa; Chordata; Mammalia; Primates; Hominidae. The record is from RNAcentral.